Molecule: transfer RNA, 23 nt
Filed under: Acrobates pygmaeus
Lineage: Eukaryota; Metazoa; Chordata; Mammalia; Diprotodontia; Acrobatidae
Description: partial tRNA-Phe
Source: RNAcentral
ACUCUCAUAUAGUCCCAUAAACA